This 457-nucleotide long non-coding RNA is filed under the name Carica papaya (papaya). Its description in RNAcentral is "long non-coding RNA (CPAP_LNC013151)". The record is from RNAcentral. Lineage: Eukaryota; Viridiplantae; Streptophyta; Magnoliopsida; Brassicales; Caricaceae.
GAGCAAUAAUGUUUUGAAUUUGCGAUGUGCUCAGAGCAUCGACCGAGGCAGCAGAAUCAAGUGCCGGUAAGCAGGCAACUGUGGAGGUGAAUUUUUGCGCCUGUUGCACUGUCGGGUGCGUGCCCGAGGAAAAAGAAAAAUUGUGCUCUGGAGAAGCCUGUUCGUGGGCCAAGACCUGGUGGGUAGAAGAGAAAACGGGCCUGGACUCAGAGCCUGAUGGAUUAAGUGAUCUGGUUCUAGGGGUGGGCCGAGACUGAAAUGAAUUGCGGGCUUAAGCUUGGGCUUGAACGUGUCCUUCAUUAAAAACAGGCGAGUGCAUUUUGGGCUUGGGCUUGAGGCCCGGUGGGUACCCAUGUAAGCGGUAACACCUGUCUACAGUGUGGCCCCCGAGCCCACAGUGUGGUCCCCGAGCCCACAGUGUGAACAGGUGGGUCGUCUUCGACCUUGAGUUAGGGCA